GCUGUCUCUCAAGCAAAU
This 18-nucleotide ribosomal RNA is filed under the name Berberis lycium. RNAcentral describes it as "partial 28S ribosomal RNA". The record is from RNAcentral. Lineage: Eukaryota; Viridiplantae; Streptophyta; Magnoliopsida; Ranunculales; Berberidaceae.